AGUGAACGCUGGCGGUAGGCCUAACACAUGCAAGUCGAACGGCAGCACAGUAAGAGCUUGCUCUUACGGGUGGCGAGUGGCGGACGGGUGAGGAAUACAUCGGAAUCUACUUUUUCGUGGGGGAUAACGUAGGGAAACUUACGCUAAUACCGCAUACGACCUACGGGUGAAAGCAGGGGAUCUUCGGACCUUGCGCGAUUGAAUGAGCCGAUGUCGGAUUAGCUAGUUGGCGGGGUAAAGGCCCACCAAGGCGACGAUCCGUAGCUGGUCUGAGAGGAUGAUCAGCCACACUGGAACUGAGACACGGGCCCGACUCCUACGGGAGGCAGCAGUGGGGAAUAUUGGACAAUGGGCGCAAGCCUGAUCCAGCCAUACCGCGUGGGUGAAGAAGGCCUUCGGGUUGUAAAGCCCUUUUGUUGGGAAAGAAAAGCAGCAGGUUAAUACCCCGCUGUUCUGACGGUACCCAAAGAAUAAGCACCGGCUAACUUCGUG
Molecule: ribosomal RNA, 492 nt
Filed under: uncultured bacterium
Lineage: Bacteria
Description: partial 16S ribosomal RNA
Rfam family: Bacterial small subunit ribosomal RNA
Source: RNAcentral